RNAcentral lists this ribosomal RNA (253 nucleotides) under uncultured bacterium. Its description in RNAcentral is "partial 16S ribosomal RNA". It matches the Rfam family "Bacterial small subunit ribosomal RNA", at positions 524 to 776 of the family's 1533-position model. The record is from RNAcentral.
UACGGAGGGUGCAAGCGUUGUUCGGAAUCACUGGGCGUAAAGGGCGUGUAGGCGGUCCGCUAAGUCUGAUGUGAAAGCCCGGGGCUCACCCCCGGAAGUGCAUUGGAAACUGGCGGACUCGAGUCCCGGAGAGGAGGGUGGAAUUCCUGGUGUAGCGGUGAAAUGCGUAGAUAUCAGGAGGAACACCGGUGGCGAAGGCGGCCCUCUGGACGGUGUCUGACGCUGAGACGCGAAAGCGUGGGGAGCAAACAGG